UACGGAGGGGGCUAGCGUUGUUCGGAAUUACUGGGCGUAAAGCGCACGUAGGCGGCUUUGUAAGUUAGAGGUGAAAGCCCGGAGCUCAACUCCGGAAUUGCCUUUAAGACUGCAUCGCUAGAAUUGUGGAGAGGUGAGUGGAAUUCCGAGUGUAGAGGUGAAAUUCGUAGAUAUCGGGAGGAACACCAGUGGCGAAGGCGACUUCCUGGCCUGUUCUUGACGCUGAGGCGCGAAAGCUAGGGGAGCAAACGGG
Molecule: ribosomal RNA, 253 nt
Filed under: uncultured bacterium
Lineage: Bacteria
Description: partial 16S ribosomal RNA
Rfam family: Bacterial small subunit ribosomal RNA
Source: RNAcentral